UUUUUUUUUUUUUUCUUUUACCUGCAGGACUUCUCAGAGCCUUUAGUUAUCUUUAUGUCCAUUAUGAAAAUCCAAGUAGAAGACACAGGAUUUAGCAUUUUCCAAACUUAUCCUUUUUUCCCCUUAUAAUAUUUCAUAGAAUAGAUCUUCUAAGAAAAAUGUAUUGGUAUGUAAGUAUGGGACUAGACAUUAUCAACAAAAAUGUGAAAAGAGACAUGGACAGUAGAGACAGGUUAAACACAAUGCAAAUUAACUCAUAGAGUCAGAUAACCACAGCAUAAAAACACUUCAAGAAUGUUAAACCCUAUUUAGCUCAACAUGAUAGUCCUUAUUGUAAACUAUGCCUAAAUCUUAUGGAGAGAAGCAAAGCUUUACAAUCAGAGUUAUUCCAUAAAUAUUAUAUGCCAAGCUCAGCUAUUGGUAUUUAUGUUGCACAACUCAGUUAAACAAAACCAUCUUCUACUCUAACCUGUUGGAAAGAGUUGACAUUUUACAUCAUGUUCUCUAUUUACCACCAACAUUUUUAUAGAUUAAAAAAUGUAUGAAAUGAUGUAAAGGAUAAGAGAGCCAUCUGGUAAAGAUUAAUUUAAAUAAUUUUAUUACAUCUGUUAAAAUCAGAUAAAUAAGACCUUUAUCUUAGUGAGUAAAAUUAACUAUUGAGUCUCUGAUGUGUAGAUCAAGAUCUACAAAUGGACCUGCAAUGCAAACUUCUUUCAGUAGAUCCUGGAGUCACAUACCACUGGCACUGGCCCUUCUCAGCCACUUCACCCCUUCUUGCUUUGAUGGGAUUCCCUGUGGGGAAAAGAAGGUGCAGCCAGCAGGGUUACAUUCUUGCUGAGUCUGUGACUCUACACACUGUGAGUACCCUUCCCUUCACCACCCACACUAUAAUCUCAAACUAUCUUCAGAAAAAUGGGAUCCCUCCCCACAUUGUAGUCUACCCAAAUAGCCUUUCAUUGACUUAAUGUGGAAUCUGGCUUCCAAAUACUCUAUUAAUAAUAAAUUGAAAGGUUACCUUUAUAAUCUCAGAAUAAGAAAUACAAAGACUUUAUAAGAAAUAUUUUUAUAAUUUAGUUUCCUUGGUAAUUGUGCUGAAAAUGAAAUUUGCUCUUGAUCAACUAUUCAUCUCAUCCAAUACAAUUAGAGUAACUUCUGUUACACAGGUCACCAGAAAGUACCAUUAAAGUCAUGUUGGAAUACUGUAUAAUGGUCACUGUUAUAAGGAUAAAUUCCAUUCACCUGACUCUCCUAAGAGUUUUGUGAAAAUAGAUAAUUAUACUAGAAUACAUUUAAAAAAGCAAUAUUUUUACCAAUCCAUGCAGUGUGUAUAUUAAUCUACCCCAAAUAUCCAAUUGUUAUUCUCUUAUUAUUCAAGAUAAAGUCUGGAGGCAACAGUAUUCUAUUACUUCAAUUUAGAAUCAUUGUGUAUCAGAGUAGCAUGGAAAAAAUCAGAUAGUUAUAUGUUUCACACCUUGAACAAGUAAGAUGGAACUAUCCCCAAAGAAGUUUCCUUUCAAGUCUAAAGUAUAAAGCAAAGUUCUGAUAAAAUCAUGUUUGUAGAAACUAAACCAUUGAAAUGUCUCAAAGAGAUAAGGAGAAUCAUACACUAGAAGAGACAGGUGUGGAAAAAAAAGAUAUCUAUUCUUGGAGUUCUGGCAUAGAGUGCUCACCUAUCUCUGUAGGUUCCAGAAAAAUGGAGAUGUCAAAGACAUGGGAGGGUGACAUAAACUAUUUUGUAAUCUAACAUCUUUUAAGUAGCCUCCCAAGUGAACUGGAUGGUUGAAUGGGAUAAAAAAUGCUAGCGAUACAGUGAUGUAUAUUGAGAAUUGAUAAACUUGAGUCUAACAUACCUUCUCAUUUUGAGAAUUCUGUUAAAAUGCUUUGCAAAAUUUCAAGAGUGGAACAUAAAGGUAAUCUGUCUACUGCCACUUUCCCAUGCAAAUUGCUUGAAUCUAUUAACAUACGAAAUUUCAAAAUAUUAGUUCAGUUCUAUAACUAUUCUAGACAAAGCAGAGGAAAGGACCUCCCUAUUAAGUAAUCUCUACGCCCAACUUGGGGUACAAAUUCACAAGCCCGAGAUCAAGAGUCACAUGUUCUACUAAGUCAGCCAGCCAGGCAUCCCCCAACUCUUUCAAUCCCUAAAGCAAGCCUUUGAUAUCAGUAUUUUUAUUAUCCUCAUUUUAAAGAACAUAUUGAUAAUAUAUGGCAGAGCUGAAAUAUUUUGAGAAUAAGAAUAUUAACAGAAUUAUCAUAUAUUCAUCUAUUCAAUAGAGUCUGGAAAGUAACUACAGAUAACAGUAUGGUGAAUAAUAGGGACUUGGUAUUGACAGCCUCUUGUCCAAAAUGAGUGUAUGACUAGUGUUAGGCAUGGAAUGAGGGUAUUAUGGGGCUUACUCCCAAAUCCACAUAAGAUUUUACAAAAGCAGACUACAGACGAAUCAGCCACUACAGCACCUGAGGAUGUUACCUUUUUGUCCAGUCACCUUUGUUUUUCCUUUUGCUCCUAUUCUCUGUUCCUUUCCACUGCCUCUUCCUCCAACAUUAUUACUCUUGGUUUUUGUUUUUAUUCCCCAGGUAUUUAAAACAUUAUUGAAAGUUUUAAAGUUCUCUGAAGCGUCUCUUGAAAUCCCCUGGGAGGAAAGCAAUGCAAAUUUCAAGUGAAGAAAAGGAAGAAAAUUGUAAAGUUUCACAGUUCAUGAGCAUUUCCCUAUGGCCAAUGUAGUUCUAUAUUCUUUAGCACUAUGCAUUCUCAUCAAUUACCUUCCACUGUGAUUUAUAGAUAUCUCUUUUUUAUACUACAACGGUUUAAACUACUUUACAUUGAAAUCCAUUCCAAUUUAAGUUAGAUAUUUUUCUAAAGUGACAAAGGAAUAAGGGCUUAUGAAAAUGCUCAACUAUGAAGAGAAAAAUGCUUUUGCUACAAAUAGAAAACCAUGGGGCUUUUUAAUGUAAAUUCUAGGAAAUAACAAAUCAGUUAGGUUGCUUUGAGCUGUACAAAGAACAAAUCAUCAAUUUGUAAAGACCUACAAAAAAAAUGGAGAUGAUAACCAAUAGCGUGUGUGAAAAGUCUACCUUAUCGGAACCUUCUAAUUUCAUUUUAUAAAAAAAUGACAGGCCUGAGAGACAUCAAGAAACCUAAAUGUAAUCUGUCCAAGAGUCCAUAGAUAUUUGUAUCUGACAUGAGGAUCAACAAUCUCAAGCUCCAUAUGUGACUCUGUCAAAUUCCCUGGGGAUGCUCCUUUCUCAAAUAGUAAAAACAAGGGACUGGAGGAAGAAAUGCACUCAGGAGUUGCACUUUCAUAAAGAUUUAGAUCAGUAAAGGACCUUGAUAAAUAUGACUUUAAACGAAAUUCUUGCCAUUAUUACUAUGAUUAUUAUUUUAAGUAUUUGAGAUAUUUUAAGUACAAUCCACCUUGAUGGCUGUUGGAAGAAGGGACCUGGCUGGGCCCUUGCAGUCAAAUUUCUGUCACUAAGAGGUGAUGUCUGUGUAACCUUGCUUUCUGUCUUUAAUUUAGCAGAUCUAAGUAUGAUUACGGGUGUGAUUACUACCUUUUUCAUAUUGUCAAUGUUUCAAAUGUAGAAGAUGUCUCUUAUCUCACAGAGAUGAACACAGCUACAAAUCUGAGUGGCCUGCAUUUAAGAGUUAAAUCUGGAGAUCACCCCUACACAUACAGUGUCUGACCUUCAAACUUCCGUGGCCUUUGAGAGGCUGGCUGAGCUGUUGACUUCAUAGGGAAACUCAGCAGGGCAAGGGCCUGUUGAUAGCUUUUAUCAUUCUAUUGAGAACUUGGAAGUAUGUUUAUUAUUUAUAGGGCUGUUUCAAAAAUAUAGUUAUACUUAUUUUUAAUUAAUUGACUUUACCAAAUUAAUGCAUACAUUUAUAUGCACAAUGCAGAAGAGAUACUUAAAUUAAAGGAAUAUAUCUAUUAAGCACUAGUUUUUAAGGAAAAAAAAGAUGAAACUAUGGUAAAAUAUUGCUAAAAUCUAGCAUUUACUGUUUACUGUACUAAGCCCUUGAUGUAGAUGAUCUCUUUUAACCCUGGUAUCAACCCUGUGAGUAGUUUCACUCAUUUUUAGGUGAAAAAUGGAGUUUAUGUGAGAUGUCCAAGUUCACGGAGCUGGAAUGAGAUCUCAAGUGAUGGCCUCCAGGAUCUUCACUUUUAACUACAACUUGUACUGUAAUGUAGCUUAAGGAGGCCAAUAUUCCAAACAUUAAAAAUUUCUUACCUCAGAUUUGUAAGUAUUUGUAAUUUACUACUGACAACUUAUCAGUAUUUUUGAAACAUUAAUGUAUAUUGCCAUAUGGGUCAUACAAAGUUCAUUAUUGCCAGCCUUACAUUUCAUCUUCUAUUUCCUAGUAUUAUUAUAGAAUCCACUUAUACUGGACAUGACUCCACCAUUGAAAGUCAUUAAUUAACUUUUUAAAAAAUCCUUAUGCUAGUCAGAAGUACCAAAUAUUGCUAAUGCCAACUGGUAGUCUUAUAAUGAAAGACAAUAACGUAUCACUGCAAUUUCUUGAUUUGAAAGUCUCAUUAACAUUUGCAUUGAGUGGUAUCUUAAUGAAAUAUCUGCUAAAAGUAGGAGUUGCGUAUGUGUGUGUGUAUACUCUCUUUGGUUCUAGGAAAAAUAAAAACUUACAGAUGAAACUGUGCAGUAUGUUUACCUCCAAAUUUUUCCAUUUGGUCAAAUUUCAGAGCAUUUAUUUUGUGGAAAUGUAUUUCAAAACGUAUCUGAUAUUACUUCAAGGUAAGUAUUUUCACCCAAGAAAACACAAACAGCAAGCACAAAGCUCAGGGUUCUACCUUAGAACCUCAGACAUAUGGACUGCUCUUUCCAUUAACUUUCAAUGUGAUCCUUUAGGAGAAAUUUGCUCACCGAUGACCUUUGUGUUUCCUGCUGGUAAAGUUCUGCCCUCCCCAUUUCAGUGAUCAUGGAAAGAAGAAAAGGUGAGAAUGACCAAGAGAAAGUAUGAGGAGCAUACAUUAGUAGCUGCUCAAAGUUUAGGAGCUAAAAAAAUUUCUGAGGACCUAACGCUUCUGUAAUGUUCUGUGCCAGCCUAUAUUUAACUUGUGUUGAAAAGCCCAUGUUCUCUGAGUUAAAAUUAAUCUGUCUCCAUGGUGAGUUCCAAUAGAACUGUGGCUGGUUAGCUCAGCGAGUUAGAGUAUGGCAAUGAUAAAAUCAGAGAAGGUCAGAAAACUGCCUUUUGUUUCUUGGCCUGAGGUGACUCCGUAACUCCAGUCUCAUAUAUGGGUACUCCAAAGACCUCAGUGAAACUGGGCAGACAAGAUCACGGGGAUGGGUCAGCACAAGUCAGUCAUCUUCCCUGGGGAAAGAACUCAGAUCUUCAACAUACUAAAGGCACUUCAGUAGAGAGCUACCAUCCCAAAGUGAAGAAAGUACAGUACAUUCUAACCCACUACUUUUCUAAGUGAGUCCAAGGACCACCUGUCUCCAAAUUUCCACUGGUACUUUGUAAAUGCAUAGGUGCAGAUUCCCAGGCCUUGCACAGACCUUCAGAAUCAGAAUCCCUUGUGUUUAGCUAAGGAAUCAGCAUUUCAGAAGACUCAUGAAGGGAUUACUGUUU
RNAcentral lists this long non-coding RNA (5584 nucleotides) under Canis lupus familiaris (dog). RNAcentral describes it as "lncRNA (ENSCAFG00000051119.1)". The record is from RNAcentral. Lineage: Eukaryota; Metazoa; Chordata; Mammalia; Carnivora; Canidae.